GCUGGGCAUGGUGGUUCAUGCCUGUAAUCCCAGCACUUUGGGAGGCUGAGUCGGGCGGAUCGUCAGAGGUCAGGAGUUCGAGACUAGCCUGGCCAACAUGGUGAAACCCCGUCUCUA
This is an unclassified non-coding RNA of Papio anubis (olive baboon), 117 nucleotides long. It matches the Rfam family "Metazoan signal recognition particle RNA". From Rfam's summary of the family: The signal recognition particle (SRP) is a universally conserved ribonucleoprotein. It is involved in the co-translational targeting of proteins to membranes. Lineage: Eukaryota; Metazoa; Chordata; Mammalia; Primates; Cercopithecidae. The record is from Ensembl.